RNAcentral lists this ribosomal RNA (433 nucleotides) under Chrysolina peregrina. RNAcentral's name for it is "partial 16S large subunit ribosomal RNA". Lineage: Eukaryota; Metazoa; Arthropoda; Insecta; Coleoptera; Chrysomelidae. The record is from RNAcentral.
GUCCUUUUGGUAAUAAUUUAAGGUUUGACCUGCCCACUGAGAUUUUAAAUGGCCGUGGUAUUUUGACCGUGCUAAGGUAGCAUAAUCAUUAGUUUUCUAAUUAAAAACUGGAAUGAAAGGUCGGAUAAGAAAAUAGCUGUCUCUAUUUAAUUUAAUUAGAAUUUUAUUUUUAAGUUAAAAAGCUUAAUUGUUUUUAAAAGACGAGAAGACCCUAUAGAGUUUAAUUAUUAAAUAAAAAUUAUAUUUUAGUAUUAAUUUAUUUGAUUUAUUUAAUAAUUUAAUUGGGGUGAUUAAAAAAUUUAAUUAACUUUUUUUAUUUUAAAUCAUUAAUUUAUGAUUAAAUGAUCCAAUAGUUUUGAUUAUAAGAUAAAAUUACCUUAGGGAUAACAGCGUAAUUUUUUUAGAGAGUUCAUAUUAAAAGAAAAGAUUGCGA